UCCACUCUUACCAUGCACGUACAUCUCCAAAACAAACCACAAUCCUCGCUCUCUGAGCUGUUCCAUGCCACCUAGCUCUCUUCUUUCCUCCCUUCACGAGCUUAUUUAAAGUCCUCCCUCUUUAAUAUCAACUAUAUAUAAUCACAACAUCUCCUACAAACAAACAUACCACCCAACAUGUCUACUACAAUUUACAUGCAUUACAUUGCCCACAUUUAUAUUCUCCUCUUCUUGUUUCCUCUACACGAGUCCAUGGCUGCCCGGGCUCUCCCGUCGAGUGGCCCGAGCACGACGAUGGCGCCCUUGGCCACGAAAGCCCGGGAGUAUGCUAUAAUGAAGAUGAAGCCGAUGUUGGAUCAGGAAGGGAGGGUUUUCCAUGGGAAGCAAGUGAAAGCAUGCAUGCCUAAAGGGCGGAGACAUUCGUCGGCUCCGAGUCGAUAUGUUAAUUUUCAUACUUUUGAUGGAUUGUUGGGGUGUGAAUCUAGCCGCAAGUCUAAGAUUGUUCCUUGAUAAGGAGAUGUGCUCAAUGAGAGAUAACUAGGAUGGUUCUGAAAUUUAGUUUCAUAAUUUAUUGAAGCUAGCUAGGUAGAUGAAAGUAUUGAUUAGUUUUGCGAAUUUGGUAUUUGUAUUAGCACCAUCUUUUUGGUACGGCUUUCAUGUCUUUUUUAUGUAGUUGUUGUAUGGAUAUAGUGAAUCCAGUGGUGGUGAUUAAUCGGAAUUUGUACAAAUUAAGUCCAUUGACCAUUGCGUAUGUAUCUUAUUUCAUUUUGCAGCAUAGCUAGCACGCAGAGUGACG
This 796-nucleotide long non-coding RNA is filed under the name Daucus carota (carrot). RNAcentral describes it as "long non-coding RNA (DCAR_LNC003844)". Lineage: Eukaryota; Viridiplantae; Streptophyta; Magnoliopsida; Apiales; Apiaceae. The record is from RNAcentral.